Molecule: long non-coding RNA, 3101 nt
Organism: Cebus imitator (Panamanian white-faced capuchin)
Lineage: Eukaryota; Metazoa; Chordata; Mammalia; Primates; Cebidae
Exons: 2
Source: RefSeq, a predicted model, not a curated record
UGAGCUGAGAUUGCACCAUUGCAUUCCAGCCUGGGCAACAGGGCGAGACUUCGUCUUAAGAAAAAAAAAAAAAAUGUUAUCCUGGCAAUUGGUCAUUUUUUCUAACUGUCUUUGUUUUCAUAAGAAAAUUAAAUUCCAAACAGAAGGAACAUCAUCAUUUUGUCACACUCACUCUGUGCAGGCUUUGUGGGGGGAAAUACCCAGACUCUGAAUGCACCUUGGAUUCCAGUUGCUAGUCUUCAAAGCCCUUCAAAUGCAGAGAAACAGCAAAUACUCUGCUUGUCUUGAAUUCACCAUGGUAGACACGCUAGAGUCCCUCCCAGUUCUGGAAGGCAUGCCCUUUUGAUGGAGGGUUGAGUGGGUGGGCCGUACACGUCAGACUUCUUCCAGUUCCCCUUGGCUCCCCGCUGCCUCAUAUGUUUAUGUCCGCCUCUUAUUUCUGUUUUCUCAAAUACCAUGGUUUAGGGGUUUCCUAGGAAAUCUCUCGCAUUAGGCAUGACAUGUUCAUGAUGUUCAGCACAGACUCCUUCCUCAGCAAUUGAGGUCCUUUUUCCCCACAGAGACUGUGUGUUAAGAGAACUCCCACUUAUUCAUAGUAAUAACUCUAUUUUUCUAGUUUGAGCUAAUGAAGAUGUGACAGCAAAGUUUAUCCAAAGCCUACUAUGUUCCAUUACUGUCAUUACCACACAUACCCUUUCCGAAUGUGACAGUGACAGCUCCUGGCAUAGGAGCGGUUCAAACCAAGGCAGCCUGGGGCUAAGCUACUGCCUGAGUUACUUUUGUAGCAGGCUCACGGGCCUUGGGUAAACAGGUAAGUUAGGUCACCCACAAGAAAAACAAAAGCGCUAGUUCUCUGUAAAGGGGGAGGGGAAGGGAGUUCCGUUUUGCCAAUAAAGUGUUAAAAAUAGAAUCUGCUGUGUCUGCCGAGCAGCUCUCACGUGACUGCUCACCAGAUCCCAUGUUGCGUGUACAUUUCUGUUUUGUAAAGCCUAGCAUUUACGUCAGAGCCUGGGAAUGCAGCAGUCUUGUCUAUACAUGGAACACGUGCCUCACGGACAUCAUUUGUGCAACCCCCUUCUCCACAGAGGCACAGCAGCCGUACAGGCUCGGCAGGACAGUCUCAGUCUCCUUCUGGUCUUCCAGCCCACAGUGGCUGGGACAGCCUCCCCCACUUCGCCAAAUCCCAUUUCUUCGGCAGUUUCCAACAGUGAAAUCAUUUCAAGAACAGUGGCUGCUAACUCGUGUCAGCUGAAGCACUGCAGAUUGAGUCAUCCAAUUCAAGCUGCUGCUGCUUUCUGGAAGGGAUAGAUCAGCCAUCAUCUGUUUCCUCCUCAGCCUUUCCCUUGGAGUCCAGAGUUCUUUCCGGUCCAGUCGAGGCAGGCAGUGAUGUUUCAGAGAAGCUUGAGGCACUGGGCCCCCCAGUGAACAAAACCAGACAUCCUGACCCCCUACCCCUGCAGUCUGCAGAGGCUGCCUUGGCAUGCUUGGCUUGUGAGGAGGAGGCAUAGCGGCUGUCCCCACACAAGGUUACACAGGGAUGCCACGGUGCAUUCAAGAGCAGAAUCCGUAGCCUUCUGUGUGUAACUCUGGGCCUUGCUGUAAACAGCAAAGCCUUGGGCUGGGGAUCCUGUAUCACAGGACUGGAUGUACCAAUGAAGAGAAAGUUGAAAAGCCAGUUGGCACAGGAGAAGCCCACUGCUCCUGGUGGACACGGGCCUGCAUUUAACCAGAUGACUGACAACACGAAAGUCAACAGCCCCAAACACAAUGAUCUUUCAUCACUACAGUUCUCGGAAGUCUCACUGCACAGAGCCAGCGGUUAGCAGGUACUUGAUGUAAACGUCCUGCAGGGAAGCGAUGAAGAGUCUGCAGCGCUUACUUAGGAGCCCUAAGUAAGCAAGCCCUUGAGUGUGCAGUAAAGCUCCUAGACCCCCGAGUUCCUAGACUCCAUGCACAGACUCCACUUUGCUUAUGGUUCUUUUCAUUUGGAGUCUGCCUAGUCAGUUUUUCUCUUAAGUUCCAAGAAAUCUUUUCCCUGUUUAGAACCUGUCAAGCAUGCCACCUGUCUGCAGGCAAACAGAGGCCCCAAAGGUCCCAAAACAGCUGAGUCGACGAGCUGUCUCCAGCCCCCGUGGGGUCCUGAGAUUCUCACCAGAUCCAGAGACAACAGAGGAACGGGAACCAGGUAGGCAGAGGAAAGACUUGAGAGACUGGGAGUUAGGAAGUCUGUCAAGCAGUGAGCGGCAGGCCUGUGCUUGUAAGGAAUGGAGGACAGGAAGUGGGCUUCCAUGGGACAGAGAUGGAGGAAUGGAGGACAGGAAGUAGGCAUCCACGGGACAGAGAGGGAAGAAUGGAAGACAGAAGGUGGGCAUCCCCGGGACAGAGGGAGGAAUGGAGGACAGGAAGUGGGCGUCCACGAGACAGAGAGGGCGUGGGGCAACACCACAGUCACUGUCAACCAUCCAGCCCUGGGAUCCCGAAACCAGUUGCUCUGCCUCGCUCCACCUGUCAGCCUUCUCAUGCCACAUUUCAAUCUGCUCACCUAGAGCUGAGGGGGUAUAGCCAGCACAUGAGCUUCUAACUUUUGUAUUUGAGCCUCUGCCAUUGGAGAUUGAAUUCCUCACACUUUUGGUCGCUGUCAUGCCUUGAUGGGGUUUUUUUAUCCCCAGGUAGACAGUAACACAUUUCAGAAAAAGGCCGAGGGCUUGCUAGUGCAGGGGGGAACUAAGACGGCAAAGCAACGUACAUACAGACGAGCCUUGGUGUUCUGGCUUGCCGGGGGGUGGAAGGCAGUGCCGCCCUCCCCAAGACCACCAGCUGGCCAGGAGCCCCGGUCCCACCUUUCCUCCUUCCCUUGUGCCUGCUGGACAUUCCCGUGGCCCUCCCCUGUGAAUGCAGCUUCUGAAUGUCCAGGGCAGUCGCUGUGAGAUGUCAUGGCCUGGACUAGGGUGAUGCGAAGAACAGAACUUGCCACCGGAUUGGAUGCAGGGGCAGGGACUCUGCCAUGACUUCACACCUCUUCACCUGAACAAUUAAUUGCCAAAACAGAUAUAGAAGAAAUUGGGAAGAAGAGUUGAUCCAGAUAGUAGACCAGCUAAAGC